UAAAGGGUCCGUAGGCGGACUCGUAAGUCAGUGGUGAAAUCUCAUAGCUUAACUAUGAAACUGCCAUUGAUACUGCGGGUCUUGAGUAAGGUAGAGGUAGCUGGAAUAAGUAGUGUAGCGGUGAAAUGCAUAGAUAUUACUUAGAACACCAAUUGCGAAGGCAGGUUACCAUGUCUUAACUGACGCUGAUGGACGAAAGCGUGGGGAGCGAACAGGAUUAGAUACCCAGU
RNAcentral lists this ribosomal RNA (230 nucleotides) under uncultured bacterium. Its description in RNAcentral is "partial 16S ribosomal RNA". It matches the Rfam family "Bacterial small subunit ribosomal RNA", at positions 561 to 790 of the family's 1533-position model. The record is from RNAcentral.